UUUGCUGGGGGUGCCUUUGGCUGAGAGAUGUUUUUCAUCAACCCUUAUUACUUGAUCCGGUUAAUGCCGGCGUAAGAAAGCACAUUGA
This 88-nucleotide non-coding RNA is filed under the name bovine gut metagenome. RNAcentral describes it as "TPP riboswitch (THI element)". It matches the Rfam family "TPP riboswitch aptamer (THI element)", at positions 7 to 92 of the family's 105-position model. From Rfam's summary of the family: Vitamin B(1) in its active form thiamin pyrophosphate (TPP) is an essential coenzyme that is synthesised by coupling of pyrimidine and thiazole moieties in bacteria. The previously detected thiamin-regulatory element, thi box was extended, resulting in a new, highly conserved RNA secondary structure, the THI element, which is widely distributed in eubacteria and also occurs in some archaea. The record is from RNAcentral.